This 1211-nucleotide small RNA is filed under the name Pongo abelii (Sumatran orangutan). RNAcentral's name for it is "retained intron". The record is from RNAcentral. Lineage: Eukaryota; Metazoa; Chordata; Mammalia; Primates; Hominidae.
CCAGUGAGCCGAGAUCACGCCACUGCACUCCGGCCUGUGCAUCAGAGAGAGACUCUGUCGGCAAAAACAAAACCAAAACAAACCUUUACCCACUCCUCCUAAACAACCCCUAAAAAACUGCUCUGAAAAGCAGGGAAUAUCAUUGUGCAAAGUAAGUUGUUUUUUUCCACGGGGCUGUCUGCGUAAAACUUGCCACUUAGAGCUCUGCCUGCACCGUCGUGAUGGCCCAGCCUGCAGGUGAGCUUCCUCGCACCCCCGCCUGACCUGAGCGCCCCUCCCUGAGUCAGACACAGUGUCCUCGCCCUGCAGGAGGCCAGAGGGCCCGUCUGCUGCUCGUGGCCAGGCUGGGCCUUGGGAUGCCUGACCCCCUCCAGAGCAAGCCCCUUAGAUGCCCGGCAGGAUCCUCUCUCCCCUCCCGUCCCUCGGGAGGUUUCCCCACACUGUGUCCAGUGUGAGGCUGAAGUUGAGAUCACGGCACAGGAGCCUCUGAGGUCCUUGGAGAAUGAGGCGCUUGAUGAUGAGCAGGAUCUGAGUGCUGCCUGGAAGGAGGUUUGAGGUCAUCAAUGGACAGGCAGCUUGUCCCAGUACUUGGAACUCGGGGCAGCAGAGCUGCCUAGCUGGGCACAACCUGGGCCACCCCACAAAGGGCAGGAGUGGGAGGGGCCAAAGAUGGUGCUCCCAGGCCACCUGGACCUUUUUGUCCAGCUGGUCCUUGGGCAUGAAGCGGGGUGGCACUGAGGGUGGGGGUGCCCGUAACUGGAGCCCAUGUUUGCCACACAGGGUCGGGUGUGCUGACAGCCGGCCGCUCAGCCCUGCCUGCCCCACGCCAAAGGAAGUGACUGCUGCCCCAGCCGUGGCUGUGCCCCCCGAGGCUACUGUGGCCAUCACCACAGCACUGAGCAAGGCUGGCCCCGCCAUACCCACCCCGGCAGUCUCCUCGGCAGUGGCCGUGGCGGCCCCCCUAGGGCCCAUCAUGGCAGUCACAGCAGCCCCAGCCAUGGUGGCCACCCUGGGCACAGUGACAAAAGACGGGAAGACAGAUGCCCCGCCGGAAGGAGCUGCCUUAAAUGGCCCCGUGUGAUGCUGCUGCCGCCCGGCCACGGCCCGCCCUGGUCAGGCUGCAUCCUUAAUCGAGAAAACUACCUGGUGAUGCAAUCUUUUUUUUUUUAAUUUAAUUUAAUUUUAAAAUAAAUGCUGCAUUGGUAAAGCUG